This 325-nucleotide unclassified non-coding RNA is filed under the name soil metagenome. RNAcentral describes it as "partial contains 5.8S ribosomal RNA, internal transcribed spacer 2, and large subunit ribosomal RNA". The stretch from base 1 to 120 matches the Rfam family "5.8S ribosomal RNA", at positions 35 to 154 of the family's 154-position model. The record is from RNAcentral.
GAUGAAGAACGUAGCGAAAUGCGAUAAGUAAUGUGAAUUGCAGAAUUCAGUGAAUCAUCGAAUCUUUGAACGCACAUUGCGCCCCUUGGUAUUCCGAGGGGCAUGCCUGUUCGAGCGUCAUAUUAACCACUCCCGCUUGCGGGGUCUUGGGCUUCGCCUCCGGGCGGGCCUUAAAAUCAGUGGCGGUGCCGUCGGGCUCUACGCGUAGUAAAUUUUCUCGCGAUAGGGUCCCGGUGGAUGCUUGCCAACAACCCCCAACUUCUUAAGGUUGACCUCGGAUCAGGUAGGGAUACCCGCUGAACUUAAGCAUAUCAAAAGCGGAGGA